Rosa chinensis is the source of this 537-nucleotide long non-coding RNA. RefSeq lists it as uncharacterized. Lineage: Eukaryota; Viridiplantae; Streptophyta; Magnoliopsida; Rosales; Rosaceae. The transcript has 3 exons. The record is from RefSeq and is a predicted model, not a curated record.
CUCUCUGGCUAAAGAUCUGAAUCAAUUCAAGGCUUUUUGAUCUUGUUGGAGGGACGACAUCAACGAGAGAAAAAGAGAGAGAAGCCAUGAACACGAUGCACAGCGUAGAGGUGAGCACCACCGGCGAGCUCAACUAGGUCGACAUCGAGUCCGGUGAGGUCUUGUGCCCUGGCCUCAGUAGCGAGAACCAGCUCCGUUGGGGUUUCAUACGCAAGGUCUACUGCAUCUUAUCCGCUCAGCUUCUCCUCACCACCGACAUCUCCUUCGUCACCGUUCUCUACACUCCCGUCAAGGAUGAGAUGGAAAUGGCAAAGGCUGGUGGGGAAGUUGUGGUGGAGAAGUCUAAUACAUGUGAAGAAUGUGGUGCUAGUUUCAAGAAACCUGCAUAUCUCAAGAAGCGUAUGCAAAGCCAUUCUCCUGAGAUUCAUGACAAGUUAAAAGGAGCUACAGUCAAUAUUAAAAUUUGACGAAGGAAGUUGUGAAUCAGAUUUGAAGGAGAUAUCCAGGUAUUAUUUCAUUUCACCUCUCUCUCUCUCU